UUUAAAUGAAGACCAGAACAAAAGAUUAAACGUUUAAAUUAAUAUCUCUAUUUAAUAUAUCCAAUUUAUCUUAAAUGUAAAAAGACAUUUAUAAAAAAGAAAGACGACAAGACCCUAUUGAACUUAACUUUAGUUAAACUGGGGCAGUUAAUUAAUAAUCACUUUAAUAAAAAUAAUUAAACAGAUGAUCCAAUAUCAUUGACAACCCCCCCAGUUACCAUAGGGAUAACAGCGUAAUAAUUUUCUAAAGUCCUUAUAAAAAUAAUAGUUUACGACCUCGAUGUUGAAUUAAUUACCUAAUUAGAGCAAAAGCCAAUUAAGGAAGUCUGUUCGACUUUUAAAAAAUUACAUGAUUUGAGUUCAGACCGGUACAAGCCAGGUCGGUUUCCAUCUUCUAAAUAAUUCUUACAGUACGAAAGGGCCUAAAGAAACUAA
RNAcentral lists this ribosomal RNA (435 nucleotides) under Selenops lindborgi. RNAcentral describes it as "partial 16S ribosomal RNA". The stretch from base 98 to 396 matches the Rfam family "Bacterial large subunit ribosomal RNA", at positions 2074 to 2646 of the family's 2925-position model. Lineage: Eukaryota; Metazoa; Arthropoda; Arachnida; Araneae; Selenopidae. The record is from RNAcentral.